Molecule: long non-coding RNA, 310 nt
Organism: Peromyscus eremicus (cactus mouse)
Lineage: Eukaryota; Metazoa; Chordata; Mammalia; Rodentia; Cricetidae
Exons: 2
Source: RefSeq, a predicted model, not a curated record
CUCCCCACCCACACUACUCUUUCCUGGAAGCUGACACGUCCUCUGGACUUCCUCCUCCCCUCCAUGUAGGAUCCUUUGUCCCCAGGGAUGACAGAACCUUCUGAGUGGGCUGUGGUAGUCCCAGUGAUGUCAUUGCAGGCUGCCACAGGAAGGGGCAGGCCCGUCUGACAAUGCAGAGCACUACGAUGGGGGAGCAUGCAGAAUUACAGAGCCGCUCAUCUCAGGGAGAAAAUUUGGUCAACAAGCAGAAAGAGAAGACAAUGAUAACUGCCAAGAAGAAGCCAGAAUAAAGUUCUUGUGCCCAGUGACA